UUUGAUGUAGCAACAGCGACUGUCAC
Molecule: non-coding RNA, 26 nt
Filed under: Mus musculus (house mouse)
Lineage: Eukaryota; Metazoa; Chordata; Mammalia; Rodentia; Muridae
Source: RNAcentral